GUGUACCCAAGUAGCAGCGGGCCCGUGAAAUCUGCUGUGAAUCUGUCGGGACCACCCGAUAAGCCUGAAUACUCCCUGGUGACCGAUAGCGGACUAGUACCGUGAGGGAAAGGUGAAAAGUACCCCGGGAGGGGAGUGAAAUAGUACCUGAAACCGUGCGCCUACAAGCGGUCGGAGCCAGCAAUGGUGACGGCGUGCCUUUUGCAUAAUGAGCCUACGAGUUACUCCUCCCCGGCAAGGUUAAGCGCUUUAAGGCGCGGAGCCGAAGCGAAAGCGAGUCUGAAUAGGGCGUGUUGAGUUCGUGGGAUCAGACCCGAAACCGAGUGAUCUAGCCAUGGCCAGGCUGAAGGCUGGGUAACACCAGCUGGAGGGCCGAACCCACACCUGUUGAAAAAGGUCGGGAUGAGCUGUGGCUAGGGGUGAAAGGCUAAUCAAACUCGGUGAUAGCUGGUUCUCCCCGAAAUGCAUUUA
Molecule: ribosomal RNA, 471 nt
Filed under: Ochromonas sp. CCMP1393
Lineage: Eukaryota; Chrysophyceae; Chromulinales; Chromulinaceae
Description: partial Bacterial large subunit ribosomal RNA
Rfam family: Bacterial large subunit ribosomal RNA
Source: RNAcentral